CCGUUUGGCUUUCUUUGGUUUUAAACCAACUCCUCUUUAGCAUUCAUUUUUACGCUACUUUUCUUUUCAGGUCGCAUUGUACUAUAGAGCCAGAUUGUCAACUGCGAUAAACUAGCAUAACUACACUGAAGGCAAGGAAACUUCCGGUUUACACUAGCUGAGGAUCUCGCUGAUAGUUUUACCCUCUUCAGUCACGAAAAGAUAUCAAUAUGUGACAUUGCAACUCCAUGCAAACCCAUGGCACCAUUAUACACAAAAGUUCAAUAACAAUGA
Molecule: long non-coding RNA, 273 nt
Filed under: Gopherus agassizii (Agassiz's desert tortoise)
Lineage: Eukaryota; Metazoa; Chordata; Testudines; Testudinidae
Description: lncRNA (ENSGAGG00000002979.1)
Source: RNAcentral